Molecule: ribosomal RNA, 364 nt
Filed under: uncultured bacterium
Lineage: Bacteria
Description: partial 16S ribosomal RNA
Rfam family: Bacterial small subunit ribosomal RNA
Source: RNAcentral
CCUACGGGUGGCUGCAGUGAGGAAUAUUGGUCAAUGGACGCAAGUCUGAACCAGCCAUGCCGCGUGCAGGAAGACGGCUCUAUGAGUUGUAAACUGCUUUUGUACGAGGGUAAACGCAGAUACGCGUAUCUGUCUGAACGUAUCGUACGAAUAAGGAACGGCUAAUUCCGUGCCAGCAGCCGCGGUAAUACGGAGGAUCCAAGCGUUAUCCGGAUUUAUUGGGUUUAAAGGGUGCGUAGGCGGUCAGAUAAGUUAGAGGGGAAGACCCGGGGCGUAACUUAUGGAUUGCCUUUGAAACUGUUUGGCUUGAGAGUAGUAGAGGUAGGCGGAAUGUAUGGUGUAGCGGUGAAAUGCGUAGAGAUCA